Non-coding RNA from Misgurnus anguillicaudatus (oriental weatherfish), 1342 nucleotides. The record is from RefSeq and is a predicted model, not a curated record. Lineage: Eukaryota; Metazoa; Chordata; Actinopteri; Cypriniformes; Cobitidae.
CGUGAUAUAUCUUCACUAGAUAGACUAUUUUGUUUACAAUAUGUAGCCAUUGCAAUGACUUGCAGUAAAUUAGUUUGGAGGAGGUUGGUGGAGUAAGUUAACAGUCAGUCAAGCUCAUAAAGAAAAACACAGCGUUUUAAAAACGUCAGCUGAAUAACGUUAUUUCACGUUUGGUAGUUUUAUCCGAGUUGAAAACUGUCAGCUUUGAGUUGACUUUUGAGGCACUUUUUACUCAGCUGUUCUAUGGAAACGUAUCAGGACAAAUAAAACGCUAACCAAAAGUUAUUCUGUCCAGAGUAACGUUAUCCAUGUAAGUAAUUUACCAGAUGAUAUCAAUUGACUAAAUUAAUAAUGACAUUGCGUAUGAAACAAACGGUCUGCUUAAUCAGAUGAACAGACCCGCGUCAGUUAUUCAUGACUUUGCUAACUUACGCCACGAGCAACACUUGAUUCUAUUAGAAAAAGCUUUUUUAAAUGUCUCGCGUGACGUCUGGUAUAUUAACUGAAAAAAAUCGCUUUGUAGUGGCCACACCUUAAAGCUGACGUUUUCAGAAGAGAACCGUGUUUUAAGAUCUCAUUUUGUCCAACAUUGCGUCCUAUGACAGAUAUAAUACUUAUUUCAUUAUUGCUCUGUGUAUGUGUGACCUUCAUCAUUUGAGGUUGUGUGUUGAUUUCACCUCUGAAUAUUUCCUCUUAUAGGUCCAUCAUCCUUGCAUGCGCUACACACUCAAAAGCAUUGAUAAAUGCUGAAUUUAAAAGAAUCACUACUGUCUAAUGUUCCUGCGUGUCACCUGGACCUCCAAUCCAAAAACCUGAUGAAACUCUUCUAUCAGAAAGGAGGACAGCUAGCAAAAAGACUUCAAACAAUUAAUGAUCAAAUGACAGAAGGCAUGGAUGAAGUCAGCAUCAGUGAGGUCAUUUGAAGACACCAAUGUUGGGAUUUGUGCUCUCAAACAACAUGCUUCUUGUGAUGAAGAAGAGGAUCUUUGUAUAGUCCUGGAAGCCAUGAAGGUGUUGCAACAUCGUGUUUGAGCUGAUGUAUGCCUUAAACCUGAUCUCCGCUUUAUUUUUGAGGAAAUCCAAACUGCAUUGAGAGUAACUUUAACGAACAGUUUCUUUCAGUGAAAGGAUCAGAAAGACUGUGCUGCUCAUUUAUGUUCUUUUUAUUUAUCUGUUUUAAGUGUUUUCUCUUAUUAAUACAUUAACAGUUUGCUGCUCAGAGUCGAUUUUGGAAAUGGUUGUUGUAUUUUGUUUUUGUUGAAUCUUUGAUUAACAGUUUAUAAAUGCUGUAGCUCUGACUUUCUGAAGGAGUGAUAUUUUCCAGUUUGUAAAUCCAUUUUAU